CAAGCGGUGGAGCAUGUGGUUUAAUUCGAUGCAACGCGAAGAACCUUACCUACUCUUGACAUCCAGAGAACUUAGCAGAGAUGCUUUGGUGCCUUCGGGAACUCUGAGACAGGUGCUGCAUGGCUGUCGUCAGCUCGUGUUGUGAAAUGUUGGGUUAAGUCCCGCAACGAGCGCAACCCUUAUCCUUUGUUGCCAGCGGUUAGGCCGGGAACUCAAAGGAGACUGCCAGUGAUAAACUGGAGGAAGGUGGGGAUGACGUCAAGUCAUCAUGGCCCUUACGAGUAGGGCUACACACGUGCUACAAUGGCGCAUACAAAGAGAAGCGACCUCGCGAGAGCAAACGGACCUCAAAAAGUGCGUCCUAAUCCGGAAUGGAAUCUGCAACUCCACUCCCUGAAGUCGGGAUCGCUAGUAAUUCUGGAUUCAAAUGGCACCGUGAAUACCUUCCCGGGGCCUUGUACACACC
RNAcentral lists this ribosomal RNA (466 nucleotides) under uncultured bacterium. RNAcentral describes it as "bacterial SSU rRNA". It matches the Rfam family "Bacterial small subunit ribosomal RNA", at positions 926 to 1391 of the family's 1533-position model. The record is from RNAcentral.